CUCUCCUUCACUUCCCUCAAUGCCCUCCAAUGGCGGCCUCCUCCCCAAACUCCGGCCUCGCCGGCGAUCCAAGAAGCCGGCCACCACCGUCGCCGAUGAAACUCCUCCCUCCCCGCCGGUCUACAUGCGCACUACCAUCUCCUCCAUCUCCAAUCUCCUCCGCUACUCCCCCUGGUCCUCAGCUCAGUCCCAACUCCACCUCCUCCCCAUCCGCUGGGACUCCUUCACCAUCAACCAAGUCCUCAAGACCCACCCUCCCAUGGAGAAAUCCUGGCUUUUCUUCAAUUGGGCCUCAAAGCUCCCUUCUUUCAAGCACGAUCACUUCACGUACACCACUAUGCUCGAUAUCUUUGGCGAGGCUGGCAGAAUCCAGUCCAUGCUUCGCGUUUUUCAGGACAUGGAGGAGAAGGGAAUCGCUGCUGAUGCCGCCACCUACACCUCUCUGAUGCAUUGGAUGGGGAAAGCUGGGGACUUUGAUGGGGCUGUGAAGGCUUGGGAGGAGAUGAGGUCCAGAGGGUGCCGCCCCACUAUUGUCUCUUAUACGGCGUUCAUCAAGGUGCUGUUCGACCAUGGGCGGCCGAGGGAGGCGGCUAGGGUUUAUAAGGAGAUGCUGGAGGUUGGGUUGACUCCCAAUUGCCAAACUUAUACGGUGCUGAUGGAGUAUCUAGCCGGAGAAGGUAAAUUUGAUGCUGUCCUUGAGGUAAUGAACAAAAUGCAAGAAGUAGGAAUACACCCUGACAAAGCUAUGUGCAAUAUUCUUGUCCAAAAAUGUUCUAAAGCUGGAGAAACAUCAGUGAUGGCUCAAAUUCUGCAAUUCAUGAAGGAGAACUUCAUUGUUCUGCGUCGUCCUGUAUUUUUGGAAGCACUAGAAGCUCUUAAGAUAUCUGGGGAAAGUGAUCACCUCCUCCGAGAAGUCAAUCCCCAUCUGUCUUGUGAAGGCAUGGUAGAGGAAAUCACAGAUUCUGAAUCAACUGUUACUGAUAUGAGUUCUGAAAUCGAUAGAGGAAUUAUCAUCAAUCUGUUGGCUAUGCGAAAUUUUGUUGCGAUAGAGCAUAUAUUAAGCGAGUCGCUUCAUAGAAACCUAUUACUCGAUUCCAAUAUUAUAUCUGCUGUUGUUCAUACCAAUUAUGCAACCCAUAGGUCAACUGGUGCACUAACAGCAUUUGAGUAUUGCAUAAAGAUGAGGCAAAUACUCGAUAAAUCAGCAUAUAUCUCCCUGCUUGGUCUGUCCAUUAGAAGUGGAUUGUAUCAGAAGGUCUUGGAGAUUGUUGAAGAGAUGGUUCGAGCUAAUAUUUGCCUGGGAACAUAUCUAGUGUCUCUCUUGAUAUACAAGCUUGGCUGUUCUGGGUUUCCAUCUUUUUCCGAGAAGUUAUAUUAUUUGUGUUCCACAGACCAGAAUUCUGCUACUUGUACAGCAUUAAUAAGUGCCUAUUUGCAAGCUGGUGAAGUUGAAAAAGGUCUUGAUGUCUAUUCAAGAAUGAGAAAUGAAGGAAUGCCUGUCUCGGUUGGCACAUAUGCAGCACUUAUUGUUGGUUUAGAGCAAGCAGGUCAGCCUCGAGAUGCAGAAGUUUACCGAAAAGAAAAGAAGAGACUUGAAUGGUGUUAUCAUUCUCGAGGAACUGCAUCAUUAGAAGAAAUUUUGUGCAACUGUUUAUUUGAUGGGGGCUAUUUUUUGCAUAUAAUGGUUAGGCAACAUUCAAUAGUUUGAAUCCUUGGAGACAGUUCUCAGUGACAUUUUCAAGUAGAAUCCCUUCUGCUAAAGUGUUUCUUUGUUUAUAUAUCAGAAUGUUGAAAGGUUGUGUACAGACAUGAAGGGAAGUUACUUCAUCCUGCGCAAACGAAAUACUAUAGUCAGGAGAAAUGGGUGAAGAUAAUGACUUGGUCUCUGGUUAAAUUAUCUGCAUGGUUCUUUCAUAAUGGAAGGUAUUCUCUGCUUCUUGAUUGUGUAAGAAGACUUGAACAGUGUACAUACACGAAUAUAAUUUCAUGCGGCUGGAUAGCACAGGACAAAUGUUAAUGCAUGCUAUGUAAGAUUUCUUCACCUAGAAGUCAUAGUGUAAUCCUUCUUGUGCAUCAAGUGACAAGCUUAUACAAUUUGGUGUCUGCAAACUGCAAUUAUCUCAAAUUGGGGAAUUGGUUAUUCAUUUGGAGGCCUGACUGAUAAUUUUGUGACACUGAGUUCAUGCAUUUCACUCAGAAAAGCACUUCACCUUAUUUGUUGGCUGACCACAAUGAACACAUUCAUUUACAUCUAUUUCUGAGAGGCGGCCGAUGAUCGUCCAUGGGUUAUAUAUGCAUAUUUCCAAUGAAUAAGCUUAGCGAAGCGGAUCCUUCCAACAAACCCGAAUCCGAUAACAUUCUCCUUUCUUCGCGCCUUAAACCCUUGGUUUCCAUUCCUCGAAGCACAAUCAUAUUUCCAGAGCUCCUUCGUUUCGUUUCGUUUCCAUUCGUCGCCGCCGUUCUUCUCCUCCGCCGCCCGUCUCCGCCCUCCGCCG
RNA transcript from Dioscorea cayenensis subsp. rotundata (Guinea yam), 2495 nucleotides. It is a transcript of the gene named ruvB-like 2, with no coding region annotated. The transcript has 4 exons. Lineage: Eukaryota; Viridiplantae; Streptophyta; Magnoliopsida; Dioscoreales; Dioscoreaceae. The record is from RefSeq and is a predicted model, not a curated record.